RNAcentral lists this ribosomal RNA (254 nucleotides) under uncultured bacterium. Its description in RNAcentral is "partial 16S ribosomal RNA". It matches the Rfam family "Bacterial small subunit ribosomal RNA", at positions 524 to 776 of the family's 1533-position model. The record is from RNAcentral.
UACGGGGGGAGCAAGCGUUGUUCGGAUUUACUGGGCGUAAAGGGCGCGUAGGCGGCCACCGCAAGUCGACUGUGAAAUCUCCGGGCUUAACCCGGAAAGGUCAGCCGAUACUGCGGGGCUAGAGUGCAGAAGGGGCAACUGGAAUUCUCGGUGUAGCGGUGAAAUGCGUAGAUAUCGAGAGGAACACCUGCGGCGAAGGCGGGUUGCUGGGCUGACACUGACGCUGAUGCGCGAAAGCUUGGGUAGCAAACGGG